GAUGAACGCUAGCGACAGGCCUAACACAUGCAAGUCGAGGGGCAGCACAAGGAGCAAUCUGAGGUGGCGACCGGCGCACGGGUGAGUAACACGUAUGCAACCUACCUGUAAGAGGGGAAUAACCCGUUGAAAAACGGACUAAUACCGCAUAACACUGUAGAACCGCAUGGUUUGACAGUUAAACAUUUAUGGCUUACAGAUGGGCAUGCGCAUGAUUAGCUAGUUGGUGAGGUAACGGCUCACCAAGGCAACGAUCAUUAGGGGUUCUGAGAGGAAGGUCCCCCACACUGGUACUGAGACACGGACCAGACUCCUACGGGAGGCAGCAGUGAGGAAUAUUGGUCAAUGGGCGAGAGCCUGAACCAGCCAAGUCGCGUGAAGGAUGAAGGUUUUAUGAAUUGUAAACUUCUUUGCAGGGGAAUAAAGUGUCCGACGUGUCGGAUUUUGUAUGUACUCUGCGAAUAAGGAUCGGCUAACUCCGUGCCAGCAGCCGC
This 494-nucleotide ribosomal RNA is filed under the name uncultured bacterium. RNAcentral's name for it is "bacterial SSU rRNA". It matches the Rfam family "Bacterial small subunit ribosomal RNA", at positions 28 to 518 of the family's 1533-position model. The record is from RNAcentral.